RNAcentral lists this ribosomal RNA (524 nucleotides) under Fusarium sp. D138_102. RNAcentral describes it as "eukaryotic LSU rRNA". The stretch from base 312 to 524 matches the Rfam family "Eukaryotic large subunit ribosomal RNA", at positions 1 to 217 of the family's 3401-position model. Lineage: Eukaryota; Fungi; Ascomycota; Sordariomycetes; Hypocreales; Nectriaceae. The record is from RNAcentral.
GAACGGAUCUCUUGGUUCUGGCAUCGAUGAAGAACGCAGCGAAAUGCGAUAAGUAAUGUGAAUUGCAGAAUUCCGUGAAUCAUCGAAUCUUUGAACGCACAUUGCGCCCGCCAGUAUUCUGGCGGGCAUGCCUGUUCGAGCGUCAUUUCAACCCUCAAGCCCCCGGGCUUGGUGUUGGGGAUCGGCCGCCCUCUCCGGCGCGCCGGCCCCGAAAUCUAGUGGCGGUCUCGCUGUAGCCUCCUCUGCGUAGUAGCACACCUCGCACCGGAACGCAGCCUGGCCACGCCGUUAAACCCCCCACUUCUGAAGGUUGACCUCGGAUCAGGUAGGAAUACCCGCUGAACUUAAGCAUAUCAAUAAGCGGAGGAAAAGAAACCAACAGGGAUUGCCCUAGUAACGGCGAGUGAAGCGGCAACAGCUCAAAUUUGAAAUCUGGCCCUCGGGUCCGAGUUGUAAUUUGUAGAGGAUGCUUUUGGUGCGGUGCCUUCCGAGUUCCCUGGAACGGGACGCCAUAGAGGGUGAGA